CCUACGGGGAGCAGCAGUGAGGAAUAUUGGUCAAUGGGCGCGAGCCUGAACCAGCCAAGUCGCGUGAGGGAAGACGGUCCUAUGGAUUGUAAACCUCUUUUGUCGGGGAGCAAAAGACGCCACGCGUGGCGUUCCGCGCGUACCCGAAGAAAAAGCAUCGGCUAACUCCGUGCCAGCAGCCGCGGUAAUACGGGGGAUGCGAGCGUUAUCCGGAUUUAUUGGGUUUAAGGGGUGCGCAGGCGGAAGAUCAAGUCAGCGGUAAAAUUGAGAGGCUCAACCUCUUCGAGCCGUUGAAACUGGUUGUCUUGAGUGAGCGAGAAGUAUGCGGAAUGCGUGGUGUAGCGGUGAAAUGCAUAGAUAUCACGCAGAACUCCGAUUGCGAAGGCAGCAUACCGGCGCUCAACUGACGCUCAUGCACGAAAGUGUGGGUAUCGAACAGGAUUAGAUACCCCAGUAGUC
RNAcentral lists this ribosomal RNA (459 nucleotides) under uncultured bacterium. RNAcentral describes it as "partial 16S ribosomal RNA". It matches the Rfam family "Bacterial small subunit ribosomal RNA", at positions 338 to 795 of the family's 1533-position model. The record is from RNAcentral.